This 460-nucleotide ribosomal RNA is filed under the name uncultured bacterium. RNAcentral describes it as "partial 16S ribosomal RNA". It matches the Rfam family "Bacterial small subunit ribosomal RNA", at positions 338 to 795 of the family's 1533-position model. The record is from RNAcentral.
CCUACGGGAGGCAGCAGUGGGGAAUAUUGGUCAAUGGACGAGAUCCUGAACCAGCCAAGUCGCGUGAAGGAUGACUGCCCUAUGGGUUGUAAACCUCUUUUAUAUGGGAAUAAAACGUUCCACGUGUGGGAGUUUGUAUGUACCAUAUGAAUAAGCAUCGGCUAACUCCGUGCCAGCAGCCGCGGUAAUACGGAGGAUCCGAGCGUUAUCCGGAUUUAUUGGGUUUAAAGGGUGCGUAGGUGGUUUGUUAAGUCAGUUGUGAAAGUUUGCGGCUCAACCGGAAAAUUGCAGUUGAAACUGGCAGACUUGAGUACGGUAGAGGUGGGCGGAAUUCGUGGUGUAGCGGUGAAAUGCAUAGAUAUCACGAAGAACUCCGAUUGCGAAGGCAGUGCACUGGACUGCAACUGACGCUGAGGCUCGAAAGUGUAGGUAUCAAACAGGAUUAGAUACCCCAGUAGUC